GACGAACCGUGCGAACGUUGUUCGGAAUCACUGGGCUUAAAGGGCGCGUAGGCGGGCUGUCAAGUCUGGGGUGAGAUGCCGCGGCUCAACCGUGGAACUGCCUUAGAUACUGACGGCCUCGAGGAAGGUAGGGGCAUGCGGAACUGUAGGUGGAGCGGUGAAAUGCGUUGAUAUCUACAGGAACUCCGGUGGCGAAAGCGGCGUGCUGGACCUUUUCUGACGCUGAGGCGCGAAAGCUAGGGGAGCAAACGGG
RNAcentral lists this ribosomal RNA (253 nucleotides) under uncultured bacterium. RNAcentral's name for it is "partial 16S ribosomal RNA". It matches the Rfam family "Bacterial small subunit ribosomal RNA", at positions 524 to 776 of the family's 1533-position model. The record is from RNAcentral.